Molecule: long non-coding RNA, 742 nt
Filed under: Vigna radiata
Lineage: Eukaryota; Viridiplantae; Streptophyta; Magnoliopsida; Fabales; Fabaceae
Description: long non-coding RNA (VRAD_LNC016352)
Source: RNAcentral
CGUACUGUUCUCAACAUAGACAUCAGCAGAAUAUGCAUGAGAAGCAAUAUUAGAGUGAGAUACAAGAGGAGAAUCAUAGUCAUAGGCACAGGCAGAAGAAGCAGUACUCACAAAAUCAAAAUAGGUAGACAUGUAGAAAGAAGGGGGAAAAGAAGAAUGCAAUGAAAAUAUGCAACUAAAGCUAUCUAAAUGCAACACACAUGAUAACACACAUACAAAAAUGAGCACACAAAAUAGAACAUCACACUCACAACAUGAGACAAAACAGAACACACACUACACAACAUAGACCUAAAACCGAACCGUUGGUCCCUGGCAACGGUGCCAAAAUUUGAUGGGCUGUCGCAACCCACACAAAUUUGAUGUGCAAUUAAAAUGCAGUAUAGUACUAGGAAGUGACUCCUAGGUCGUCUCUCAAGGACCAAAUGUGGUUCGAGAAUUAGGUCAGACACGAAGUGGGGGGUUGAAAGUGUUGUGAUUGCAGAUGAAUUAAAUUAAAACACGGAUGCAACAGAAAUACAAACACAUAAGCUAAAGAAAUUAAAAGACAAUUCAUAAUGACAACAAUAAGUUAAAAAUGCUUGAAAAGUGAAAAUAAAAUUAAAUGAGUAAAGCUAAAACAAAGCAAGCAAAGCUAAAAGAAAAAUGGAAUGCAACUUGGAAUAAAAUAAGCUAUGCUUAGCAAAUAAUAAAAAUGCAUAUUUAAAUUAAUAACAUAAAUUAAUAACUAAAAAAAAAAGUA